This 253-nucleotide ribosomal RNA is filed under the name uncultured bacterium. Its description in RNAcentral is "partial 16S ribosomal RNA". It matches the Rfam family "Bacterial small subunit ribosomal RNA", at positions 524 to 776 of the family's 1533-position model. The record is from RNAcentral.
UACGAAGGGGGCUAGCGUUGUUCGGAAUUACUGGGCGUAAAGCGCGCGCAGGCGGUCCUUCAAGUCAGAGGUGAAAGCCCAGAGCUCGACUCUGGAACGGCCUUUGAAACUAGAGGACUUGGGUCCGGGAGAGGUGAGUGGAACUGCGAGUGUAGAGGUGAAAUUCGUAGAUAUUCGCAAGAACACCAGUGGCGAAGGCGGCUCACUGGCCCGGUACUGACGCUGAGGUGCGAAAGCGUGGGGAGCAAACAGG